AACGAACGCUGGCGGCAGGCUUAACACAUGCAAGUCGAACGCGUGUAGCAAUACACGAGUGGCGCACGGGUGAGUAACGCGUGGAUAUCUGCCUUUUGGUUCGGAAUAACUCCGGGAAACUGGAGCUAAUACCGGAUGGUUCCUACGGGAUAAAGAUUUAUCGCCAAAAGAUGAGUCCGCGUACGAUUAGCUAGUUGGUGAGGUAAUGGCUCACCAAGGCGACGAUCGUUAGCUGGUCUGAGAGGACGAUCAGCCACACUGGGACUGAGACACGGCCCAGACUCCUACGGGAGGCAGCAGUGGGGAAUAUUGGACAAUGGGGGCAACCCUGAUCCAGCCAUGCCGCGUGAGUGAUGAAGGCCUUCGGGUUGUAAAGCUCUUUUGGCGGGGACGAUGAUGACGGUACCCGCAGAAUAAGCCCCGGCUAACUUCGUGCCAGCAGCCGCG
Molecule: ribosomal RNA, 447 nt
Filed under: uncultured bacterium
Lineage: Bacteria
Description: bacterial SSU rRNA
Rfam family: Bacterial small subunit ribosomal RNA
Source: RNAcentral